AGAACGAACGCUGGCGGCAUGCCUAACACAUGCAAGUCGAACGAGACCUUCGGGUCUAGUGGCGCACGGGUGCGUAACGCGUGGGAAUCUGCCCUUAGGUUCGGAAUAACAGUUAGAAAUGACUGCUAAUACCGGAUAAUGUACUUCGGACCAAAGUAUUUAUUGCCUAAGGAUGAGCCCGCGUAAGAUUAGCUUGUUGGUGAGGUAAACGGCUCACGAAGGCGACGAUCUUUAGCUGGUCUGAGAGGAUGAUCGAGCCACCACGUGGGACUGACGACGACCGGCCCAGACCUCCG
This 296-nucleotide ribosomal RNA is filed under the name uncultured soil bacterium. Its description in RNAcentral is "partial 16S ribosomal RNA". It matches the Rfam family "Bacterial small subunit ribosomal RNA", at positions 26 to 341 of the family's 1533-position model. The record is from RNAcentral.